UCGAACGAUGAAGCCCAGCUUGCUGGGUGGAUUAGUGGCGAACGGGUGAGUAACACGUGAGUAACCUGCCCUUGACUCUGGGAUAAGCCUGGGAAACUGGGUCUAAUACUGGAUAUGACUUCUCACCGCAUGGUGGGGGGUGGAAAGAUUUAUUGGUCUUGGAUGGACUCGCGGCCUAUCAGCUUGUUGGUGAGGUAAUGGCUCACCAAGGCGACGACGGGUAGCCGGCCUGAGAGGGUGACCGGCCACACUGGGACUGAGACACGGCCCAGACUCCUACGGGAGGCAGCAGUGGGGAAUAUUGCACAAUGGGCGCAAGCCUGAUGCAGCGACGCCGCGUGAGGGAUGACGGCCUUCGGGUUGUAAACCUCUUUCAGUAGGGAAGAAGCGAAAGUGACGGUACCUGCAGAAGAAGCGCCGGCUAACUACGUGCCAGCAGCCGCGGUAAUACGUAGGGCGCGAGCGUUAUCCGGAAUUAUUGGGCGUAAAGAGCUCGUAGGCGGUUUGUCGCGUCUGCCGUGAAAGUCCGGGGCUUAACCCCGGAUCUGCGGUGGGUACGGGCAGACUAGAGUGCAGUAGGGGAGACUGGAAUUCCUGGUGUAGCGGUGAAAUGCGCAGAUAUCAGGAGGAACACCGAUGGCGAAGGCAGGUCUCUGGGCUGUAACUGACGCUGAGGAGCGAAAGCAUGGGGAGCGAACAGGAUUAGAUACCCUGGUAGUCCAUGCCGUAAACGUUGGGCACUAGGUGUGGGGGACAUUCCACGUUUUCCGCGCCGUAGCUAACGCAUUAAGUGCCCCGCCUGGGGA
RNAcentral lists this ribosomal RNA (806 nucleotides) under Micrococcus terreus. Its description in RNAcentral is "bacterial SSU rRNA". It matches the Rfam family "Bacterial small subunit ribosomal RNA", at positions 62 to 879 of the family's 1533-position model. Lineage: Bacteria; Bacillati; Actinomycetota; Actinomycetes; Micrococcales; Micrococcaceae. The record is from RNAcentral.